GCAACUUGGGGUGGAGGUGCAUCGUAAUCCGAUGGCAGAAGUGUGGCGGCACGCUAUUGGCUGGUUGAAUUUCCCUUGCGGCUGUCUGAGUCAGUGUCCGUUCUCCAGGUGAGGAACUUAUUUUACACGUCAGCAAUGCUUUGACAGGGAUAGCAAAAAGAAGCGAUACAAGUCAGCAUUAUUUGAUUAGAUGCUGAAGUGUUCUCUCGCGGACCAUGUAUAUUUUAAUUUCAAU
RNAcentral lists this unclassified non-coding RNA (235 nucleotides) under Hevea brasiliensis (rubber tree). Lineage: Eukaryota; Viridiplantae; Streptophyta; Magnoliopsida; Malpighiales; Euphorbiaceae. The record is from RNAcentral.